Mesocricetus auratus (golden hamster) is the source of this 1004-nucleotide long non-coding RNA. RefSeq lists it as uncharacterized. The transcript has 2 exons. NCBI's taxonomy places the organism in Eukaryota, Metazoa, Chordata, Mammalia, Rodentia, Cricetidae. The record is from RefSeq and is a predicted model, not a curated record.
UAUCUCGUCUGUCGCCGGCUGCCAGGCUCCCCGCCAUGAUGGUUGCAGAGUUCAACCCUCAGAGAUGGCCACCAUGAUGGAACGGUGACAAAGACAAUUGGUGUCCCUGUCCCCUCCAGGAAACCGCUUAUCACGGGCUAGGAGGCCGCCAUGUCUGCAGGUGGCAGGUCUACGGUUACCUUCUCCAAGCAGAUCCUGGACAGCACUGGGCACCACAGCAGACCACUUCCUGUUCUCCUGAGCCCUCCUCGUACCAUCAUAGGUGCCAGAUAAGCCACUGGGCACGGUGUCAUUAGCUCCUCACGUCUAAGGUAUGGUGGAGUAGAUCUGAAGACGCUACCCCAGAGCCCUCACCACACACCCUCCCUGAUGGACUGUUUUCCGGGAAGAAGUACCUGUAAUGGCACUCUCCUGUGUGUGACGUGGGCAAUGGCGUCCUACUGUCUCUCCGGUGCACUCUAAGCCUGGUAAUUCUGGGUUCCAAGCCUGUCCACUGCAGCUCUCUGCCCAUGUGGUUGUGGAGAGGGUUGCAGCCAAAAUGGUAGCCUUACUAAGUUGCUCAGGAUAACCUCAAACCCCAGGGCUCAAGCCAUUCUCCUGCCUUAGCCUGGCAAGAAGCUGGGACUGUAAGUCUAUGCCACAGCCACAGCAAGAGAAGGUUACAGCCCAAACACGAUGAAUCCCUUGUGCCUGGGACAGCAUGUAGAGACCUCUUGGCUUCGUGGUGUGACACUGUCUUUUUAAGCCUCAGACUCGGAGACUUUUAUUUAUAUGACACGGCAUGUUGGCGACAGGAUUUUACAAACAGAGCACUGGAAGGGGUGGAUAGACUUCCUGGGUAGAGCAGUGGGGGAAUUCCUGUGGCAUCUCAGACAGCUGUGUGACUCUGGUAUCAGGGCGGAGCCCACUGGAUGGAGGCAGCCGGUGUCCUUGAGCCUAUCCACUGAGCCAAUAUGGUACAUGUACACCAACACAUGUAUGUAAUUAAAUGAUGAUGGUGGUGG